RNAcentral lists this ribosomal RNA (529 nucleotides) under Trichia varia. RNAcentral's name for it is "bacterial SSU rRNA". It matches the Rfam family "Eukaryotic small subunit ribosomal RNA", at positions 50 to 553 of the family's 1831-position model. Lineage: Eukaryota; Evosea; Eumycetozoa; Trichiida; Trichiidae. The record is from RNAcentral.
CAUGCAUGUCUUAGAAGUAUAAUAGGAGGCGAUCCAUAAAUCUGCGAACGGCUCCGUAUAUCUGUUAUCACCCACGGCCACUAAAAAGAUCUCGGAUACCCACGGUAAUUCUGAGGCUAAUACGUAUACGUAGCUUGGGCCUCCAGGACAGGGCACCCUCCGCAAGGGGGGCGCCUGGGCUAGUCGCUUGUUGCCGGGGGGUCCCGCAAGGGGUCCGCUGUCAUGAUGGCAGGCUAGUGCACCACACUGCGGGGGCGAUAUGUCCCGUAGGGUGCGCCAAGGGAGCCAGCCCUAUUAACUAGGUGUCCGGGUAAGGCCCGGCCGCGGUGAUAACGGGUACAGAGGAUCAGGGUUCGGUCCUGGAGAGGAAGCCUGAGAGAUCGCUUCUACUUCUAAGGAAGGCAGCAGGCGCGCAACGUUCCCAAUGGGGAUACCCUGAGGACGUGAGGGGAUAUAGCAAUGCCCCGCCCAUAAAGCGGGGCAAUUGCAAUGGGGGUCCACUAAACCCUCCACCGAGUAACAAUUGGAG